RNAcentral lists this ribosomal RNA (461 nucleotides) under Durinskia baltica. RNAcentral's name for it is "partial Bacterial small subunit ribosomal RNA". It matches the Rfam family "Bacterial small subunit ribosomal RNA", at positions 1073 to 1532 of the family's 1533-position model. The record is from RNAcentral. Lineage: Eukaryota; Dinophyceae; Peridiniales; Kryptoperidiniaceae.
UGUUGGGUUAAGUCCCGCAACGAGCGCAACCCCUAUUGUUAGUUGCCAGCACAUUAUGGUGGGGACUCUAACAAGACUGCCUACGCAAGUAGAGAGGAAGGAGGGGACGACGUCAAGUCAUCAUGGCCCUUACGCCCAGGGCUACACACGUGCUACAAUGGUGCGCACAGAGGGCUGCAAACCCGCGAGGGGGAGCCAAUCUCACAAAACGCAUCGUAGUCCGGAUCGGAGUCUGCAACUCGACUCCGUGAAGUCGGAAUCGCUAGUAAUCGCGGAUCAGCAUGCCGCGGUGAAUACGUUCCCAGGCCUUGUACACACCGCCCGUCACACCAUGGGAGUUGGAUUCACCCGAAGGCGGUGCGCUAACCUUUUAGGAGGCAGCCGACCACGGUGGGUUCAGCGACUGGGGUGAAGUCGAAACAAGGUAGCCGUAGGGGAACCUGCGGCUGGAUCACCUCCUU